ACCUGAUGAACACUUAGAUGACGAGUCUGAUUUGGAUUUUCCAAUGCGGAUAAACACUUACCUUUCCAUUCAUGCAACACUGAAU
Colletotrichum orbiculare MAFF 240422 is the source of this 85-nucleotide non-coding RNA. Lineage: Eukaryota; Fungi; Ascomycota; Sordariomycetes; Glomerellales; Glomerellaceae. The record is from Rfam.